This 252-nucleotide ribosomal RNA is filed under the name uncultured bacterium. RNAcentral describes it as "partial 16S ribosomal RNA". It matches the Rfam family "Bacterial small subunit ribosomal RNA", at positions 524 to 776 of the family's 1533-position model. The record is from RNAcentral.
UACGUAGGGUGCAAGCGUUAAUCGGAAUUACUGGGCGUAAAGCGUGCGCAGGCGGUGAUGUAAGACAGGUGUGAAAUCCCCGGCUCAACUGGGGAGGGUCACGCGAUACUGCGCGACUCGAAGGCAGGAGAGGGAAGUGGAAUUCCCGGUGUAGUGGUGAAAUGCGUAGAUAUCGGGAGGAACACCAGUGGCGAAGGCGACUUCCUGGCCUGUUCUUGACGCUGAGGCGCGAAAGCUAGGGUAGCAAACGGG